CCGCAUGACGCCUCCCGCACAGUUCUCCGAUUUUCAUUUUCCGCAAGGAAUGUCGUUAAGACCUCUCUGCAUGGCUGGAACAUCACAACACGUCGCAUCUCGCACCUGUAUCAGGAAUACCGAUGAUCGCUGCGGGUGGAUUCGUUGUGCCACGGUUGUCAACAACUGACAAGCCAGCCCCGCUGAGAGAAUGGGUUUCGGAACUUAACCCUAAGUAUCCCAUUGGUUCCAAGUUUUGCGCUCAUAGUCGUCCAAGCUGCUCUCUAAGUUCAAUGUGCCCGCCGGUUGAGUGUUACCGCUGAAAAGUUGUACUCACGAGACGGGGCGCUGAGGACGGAAAGGCGGGGAGGACAUUCCAGACAUCUUCGGAUGCGUGAGUGAUCAGUUCCCAUGAGUCAUUCGGUAAGAACCUCUGGUCUGAGGUCACUCGUCAGGGCUGCAUCGCUGGAACUCGAACUUUGGUCAUUAUGGUCGUUCUAGAGGUGUCACUCCUACGCUUCAGAUCACGUCUAGCUCAGUCUCAGCUAUUGUAUCCGCUUCGAGGCCGCCGUCUCAGCUAUGAUCGCCUUCUCGUUUUAUCUAAGGGAAGGGCACGGCAUUGGGCCCAUACGAUCAGUACCCUAGACGCUUCCUUUUGCCCCGGAUUCACCUCGCAGCACGAGGAUCCGCACGCUACAUACAGAAGUGUCGCAAAGGGACUGAUGAUCACUUACCAUGCAGACCUGCCCUGGGUACCCGAUGAUCUACGAUGCACUUUGUUGCCUUUUCUCGACGAGCUAGACGUUGACCUUACGCAGUCUCGACUCUCAGGACCACGCCACGGCAACAGCCACCGGCGUGUCACGCAUGCGUGUGACUGACCAGGCGCAUCAGCCUGCAUCCGUGUGUCUCGUCUCACGGAUCGCCAGGACGCCAAACGUAUCGUUGUUACCGCUUAGUACUGCGAUAAAUUUCCUCUCGUCAACUAGAAAUAGACCAGACUGGAGACGACAGCACGGCUUUUGAGGAUGUCUUUUGUCCGCGCGAAUUGCCCUCCUAUACAAGCCAUCCCCGGCUUCCUCGAUGGAGAGGAAACAAAAACUAAUCCUUGUUGGCAAUGCGAUCACACGGAAAGAGCUUCCUCUGGACUUUAUAUGGGAAAACCUUGUCGCAUUGCCGCACGUGGCCUCAGCGAAAGGUAUAUUGACGACGGCAUGAUUUUCAUAAGGAAAGACAGCGUGAAGGAACUGAUGCGCUUGCAAAGCGUGAAGCUGACGGGAGCGAGCAACAAUUUCACACGAUUUGAGGCUACUGAACCUCUUGGGACCGAUGAGGAGCACCUGGAUUCUCCGAAGCAGCACUGGGACCCAUCUCGAGUUGGAGUCAAGGUUUCGUGCCUGUCCGGUGUUGUGGGAGGAGUACAGAUGGUCUUCUUUGAGGAACUUUAGGCGCGGUGAAAGAGAAUCGGUAAAACGUCUUUGGAAAGGGGCAGGCAAUGAUAUGCAGUCCCGGUUGCUCUUCCUUCAGAAAUGGCGGAAGGGCAACCCC
Molecule: telomerase RNA, 1527 nt
Filed under: Phaeoacremonium minimum UCRPA7
Lineage: Eukaryota; Fungi; Ascomycota; Sordariomycetes; Togniniales; Togniniaceae
Description: Ascomycota telomerase RNA
Rfam family: Ascomycota telomerase RNA
Source: Rfam by way of RNAcentral